UACGAAGGGGGCGAGCGUUGUUCGGAUUUACUGGGCGUAAAGGGCGCGUAGGCGGCAAAUUAAGUCAGCUGUGAAAUCUCCGAGCUUAACUCGGAACGGUCAGCUGAUACUGAUCUGCUAGAGUGCGGAAGGGGCAAUCGGAAUUCUUGGUGUAGCGGUGAAAUGCGUAGAUAUCAAGAGGAACGCCUGAGGUGAAGACGGGUUGCUGGGCCGACACUGACGCUGAGUGCGCGAAAGCCAGGGGAGCAAACGGG
RNAcentral lists this ribosomal RNA (254 nucleotides) under uncultured bacterium. Its description in RNAcentral is "partial 16S ribosomal RNA". It matches the Rfam family "Bacterial small subunit ribosomal RNA", at positions 524 to 776 of the family's 1533-position model. The record is from RNAcentral.